UACGUAGGGUGCAAGCGUUAUCCGGAAUUAUUGGGCGUAAAGAGCUCGUAGGCGGUUUGUCGCGUCUGCUGUGAAAACUAGAGGCUCAACCUCCAGCCUGCAGUGGGUACGGGCAAACUAGAGUGCGGUAGGGGAGAUUGGAAUUCCUGGUGUAGCGGUGAAAUGCGCAGAUAUCAGGAGGAACACCGGUGGCGAAGGCGGGUCUCUGGGCCGAUACUGACGCUGAGGAGCGAAAGCGUGGGGAGCGAACAGG
This 253-nucleotide ribosomal RNA is filed under the name uncultured bacterium. RNAcentral's name for it is "partial 16S ribosomal RNA". It matches the Rfam family "Bacterial small subunit ribosomal RNA", at positions 524 to 776 of the family's 1533-position model. The record is from RNAcentral.